UAGGCUGUAGUUUAAUGGAAAAAUACACGUCACCAAAACGUGAGAUGUAAGUUCGAUUCCUGCCGGCUUUA
Non-coding RNA from Chitinophaga eiseniae, 71 nucleotides. Lineage: Bacteria; Pseudomonadati; Bacteroidota; Chitinophagia; Chitinophagales; Chitinophagaceae. The record is from Rfam.